Molecule: non-coding RNA, 22 nt
Filed under: Danio rerio (zebrafish)
Lineage: Eukaryota; Metazoa; Chordata; Actinopteri; Cypriniformes; Danionidae
Also listed under: 15 other names
Gene: dre-miR-181b-5p
Source: miRBase by way of RNAcentral
AACAUUCAUUGCUGUCGGUGGG